UUGAACGCUGGCGGCAGGCCUAACCCCUGCAAGUCGAGCGGAUGAAGGGAGCUUGCUCCUGGAUUCAGCGGCGGACGGGUGGGUAAUGCCUAGGAAUCUGCCUGGUAGUGGGGGAUAACGUCCGGAAACGGGCGCUAAUACCGCAUACGUCCUGAGGGAGAAAGUGGGGGAUCUUCGGACCUCACGCUAUCAGAUGAGCCUAGGUCGGAUUAGCUAGUUGGUGGGGUAAAGGCCUACCAAGGCGACGAUCCGUAACUGGUCUGAGAGGAUGAUCAGUCACACUGGAACUGAGACACGGUCCAGACUCCUACGGGAGGCAGCAGUGGGGAAUAUUGGACAAUGGGCGAAAGCCUGAUCCAGCCAUGCCGCGUGUGUGAAGAAGGUCUUCGGAUUGUAAAGCACUUUAAGUUGGGAGGAAGGGCAGUAAGUUAAUACCUUGCUGUUUUGACGUUACCAACAGAAUAAGCACCGGCUAACUUCGUG
RNAcentral lists this ribosomal RNA (483 nucleotides) under uncultured bacterium. Its description in RNAcentral is "partial 16S ribosomal RNA". It matches the Rfam family "Bacterial small subunit ribosomal RNA", at positions 30 to 507 of the family's 1533-position model. The record is from RNAcentral.